UCCGAGUUGACCCCGGCAGUCUCCUGCGAGUCCCCGCCAUUACGCGCUGGCAACACAGGACAAGGGUUGCGCUCGUUGCGGGACUUAACCCAACAUCUCACGACACGGGCUGACGACAGCCAUGCACCACCUGUCAUGGGCCCUUACGGACACCGUGUUUCCACGGCUUUUCCCAUGAUGUCAAACCCAGGUAAGGUUCUUCGGGUUGCAUCGAAUUAAGCCGCAUGCUCCGCCGCUUGUGCGGGGACCCGUCAAUUCCUUUGAGUUUUAGCCUUGCGGCCGUACUCCCCAGGCGGGACACUUAAUGCGUUAGCUUCGGCACGGCAGUCGUUGGUAAGACCGCCACACCUAGUAUCCAACGUUUACGGCGUGGACUAC
This 378-nucleotide unclassified non-coding RNA is filed under the name uncultured Acidimicrobiia bacterium. Its description in RNAcentral is "contains 16S-23S intergenic spacer region". Lineage: Bacteria; Bacillati; Actinomycetota; Acidimicrobiia. The record is from RNAcentral.